ACUCCACAGAAUCAUCAAAUGGUGCUGAGAAAGGCAGAAAGGAACAGAGAGUCAUGAUCUUGGUAAAAGACUUCUUUCAUAAUGAACCAAUGCCAUGAAAUUUGCCUUAAAAAAAAAUGAAAGUCCUAGUAUUUCUGGAAGCUGGGUCUAGGAGAUACUUCCCUUCUCCUCUAAGUAUAUUAUAAUGUAGGGAUCCAGAGCCACCCAUUGACAACAGAUUAAGUUAAUAGAGAAAUCUGAAGUUUUGCUAAUCGUGUAUGAGAAAGAAGAGAGGGAAACAGAAACCUUGUGGAGACUAUGUAAUUGAAGAUUGAUGGAGAAAUUGCAUAAUAUUUUUAGGGGACUGAAGUAGUGAAUAUUGUAUAAUGAAAGCAUUUAUUUAACUGUUUG
RNAcentral lists this long non-coding RNA (390 nucleotides) under Bos taurus (domestic cattle). RNAcentral describes it as "long non-coding RNA NONBTAT026802". Lineage: Eukaryota; Metazoa; Chordata; Mammalia; Artiodactyla; Bovidae. The record is from RNAcentral.